RNAcentral lists this ribosomal RNA (1717 nucleotides) under Salanx ariakensis. RNAcentral's name for it is "16S rRNA". It matches the Rfam family "Bacterial large subunit ribosomal RNA". Lineage: Eukaryota; Metazoa; Chordata; Actinopteri; Osmeriformes; Salangidae. The record is from RNAcentral.
GCCAAAUAGCUAGCCAAACACUUGGUUUAAUUUUUUACCAUAAAUAACCCCACACAACCUUAGAAUUCGUGAACAAAUCAUUUUCCCUCCUUAGUACGGGCGACAGAAAAGGACAACUUGAGCAAUAGAGAAAGUACCGCAAGGGAAAGCUGAAAGAGAAAUGAAAUAACCCAUAUAAGCACCGAAAAGCAAAGAUUAAAACUUGUACCUUUUGCAUCAUGAUCUAGCCAGUAAACCCAAGCAAAGAGAACUUUAGUUUGGGCCCCCGAAACUGGACGAGCUACUCCGAGGCAGCCUAUUGCAGGGCUUAUCCGUCUCUGUUGCAAAAGAGUGGAGAGAACUCCGAGUAGAAGUGAAAUACCUAUCGAGUCUAGUUAUAGCUGGUUGUUUAGGAAAUGAAUAGGAGUUCAGCCCCCAGGCUUUUUAAACCCAUAAGAUCCUUCUUCUUAAGGUAGAGAGAAACCAGGGGAGUUAUUCAAUGGAGGUACAGCUCCUUUGAACCAGGACACAACCUUAACAGGCGGUCAAGGAUCAUAAUUUUCAAGGUACACUGUUUCAGUGGGCUUAAGGGCAGCCACCUGAUUAGAAAGCGUUAAAGCUCAGACAGCAUACACCUCUUAUUCUGAUAGCCUAUCCCCCACCCCUAAUUUUACUAAACCGCCCCAUGCCCCCAUGGGAGCGACCAUGCUAGAAUGAGUAAUAAGAGGGACAUACGCCCCUCUCCUCGCACAUGUGUAAGUCGGACCGGACCCCCCACCGACAAGUAACGAACCCAAUACAAGAGGGCAUUUUGGACUUUAAUGCAAUCAAGAAGCACCCGAAAAAGUAAUCGUUAACCCCACACAGGUGUGCACUGAGGAAAGACUAAAAGGGGGACAAGGAACUCGGCAAACACAAGCCUCGCCUGUUUACCAAAAACAUCGCCUCUUGAACACUACACAUAAGAGGUCCCGCCUGCCCGGUGACCCUGGGUUAAACGGCCGCGGUAUUUUAACCGUGCGAAGGUAGCGCAAUCACUUGUCCUUUAAAUGAAGACCUGUAUGAAUGGCUAGACGAGGGCUUAACUGUCUCCUCCCCCCAGUCAGUGAAAUUGAUCUCCCCGUGCAGAAGCGGGGAUUAGCACAUAAGACGAGAAGACCCUAUGGAGCUUUAGACACUAGACAGCCCACGUUACACCCCCUCCCCCGAGAGGGGAAAACAUUGUGGCUCCUGUCUCCACUGUCUUCGGUUGGGGCGACCGCGGAGGAUAAGAAAGCCUCCAUGUGGACCAAGGUUACGAACCUCACAACUAAGGGCUGCCGCCCUAAGAAACAGAAAUUCUGACCAGAAUGAUCCGGCCUAGAGCCGAUUAACGGAACAAGUUACCCUAGGGAUAACAGCGCAAUCCUCUCCCAGAGUCCCUAUCGACGAGGGGGUUUACGACCUCGAUGUUGGAUCAGGACAUCCUAUUGGUGCAGCCGCUAAUAAGGGUUCGUUUGUUCAACGAUUAAAGUCCUACGUGAUCUGAGUUCAGACCGGAGCAAUCCAGGUCAGUUUCUAUCUAUGAAAUGAUUCCUCCCAGUACGAAAGGACCGGAGAGAAGAGGCCCAUGCUCAAGGCACGCCCCACCCUCACCUGCUGAAGGCAACUAAAACAGAAAAGAGGGCAUACCCGGGUGUGCCAAAGAGUAUGGCAUCCUAGUGUGGCAGGAUCUAGAAAAUAAUUCUGAACCACGAAC